AAUUGGGGAUAACAUUGCGAAAGCGAUGCUAAUACCGGAUAAUAUCCCGAAGCCUUCGGUCUUCGAGAUCAAAGGUGGCCUCUACAUGUAAGCUACCGUUUGGAGAUGAGCUCGCGUACCAUUAGCUUGUUGGUAGGGUAACGGCCUACCAAGGCUACGAUGGUUAGCUGGUCUGAGAGGAUGAUCAGCCACACUGGAACUGACACACGGUCCAGACUCCUACGGGAGGCAGCAGUGAGGAAUUUUGCGCAAUGGGGGAAACCCUGACGCAGCAACGCCGCGUGAGUGAUGAAGGCUUUCGGGUCGUAAAGCUCUGUCAAGUGGGAAGAAACUGUCCGAUGUAAAUAUCAUCGGGUACUGACGGUACCACUGAAGGAAGCACCGGCUAACUCCGUGCCAGCAGCCGCGGUAAUACGGGGGGUGCAAGCGUUAUUCGGAAUCAUUGGGCGUAAAGGGCGCGUAGGCGCCUCUUAAGUCAGAUGUGAAAGCCCGGGGCUUAACCCCGGAAGUGCAUUUGAAACUGAGAAGCUUGAGUAUGGGAGAGGGAAGUGGAAUUCCUGGUGUAGAGGUGAAAUUCGUAGAUAUCAGGAGGAACACCGGUGGCGAAGGCGACUUCCUGGACCAAUACUGACGCUGAGGCGCGAAGGCGUGGGUAGCAAACAGGAUUAGAUACCCUGGUAGUCCACGCAGUAAACGUUGAACACUAGGUGUAGCGGGUAUUGACCCCUGCUGUGCCGCAGUUAACGCAUUAAGUGUUCCGCCUGGGAAGUACGGCCGCAAGGUUAAAACUCAAAGGAAUUGACGGGGGCCCGCACAAGCGGUGGAGCAUGUGGUUUAAUUCGACGCAACGCGAAGAACCUUACCUGGGUUUGACAUCCCGAGAAGUCUCUUGAAAGAGAGAUGUGCCCUUCGGGGAGCUCGGAGACAGGUGCUGCAUGGCUGUCGUCAGCUCGUGUCGUGAGAUGUUGGGUUAAGUCCCGCAACGAGCGCAACCCUUAUCUUUAGUUACCAGCAUUCAGUUGGGGACUCUAAAGAUACUGCCCCGGUUAACGGGGAGGAAGGUGGGGAUGACGUCAAGUCCUCAUGGCCCUUAUACCCAGGGCUACACACGUGCUACAAUGGGCUGUACAAAGGGUCGCGAGCCCGCGAGGGUUAGCUAAUCCCAUAAAGCAGCUCUAAGUUCGGAUUGGAGUCUGCAACUCGACUCCAUGAAGCUGGAAUCGCUAGUAAUCGUGGAUCAGCACGCCACGGUGAAUACGUUCCCGGGCCUUGUACACACCGCCCGUCACACCAUGAGAGUUGGUUGUACCAGAAGUUGUUGGACCAACCCGCAAGGGAGGUAAGCACCUAAGGUAUGGCUGAUGAUUGGGGUGAAGUCGUAACAAGGUA
RNAcentral lists this ribosomal RNA (1389 nucleotides) under metagenome. RNAcentral's name for it is "bacterial SSU rRNA". It matches the Rfam family "Bacterial small subunit ribosomal RNA", at positions 135 to 1498 of the family's 1533-position model. The record is from RNAcentral.